RNAcentral lists this ribosomal RNA (425 nucleotides) under uncultured bacterium. RNAcentral's name for it is "bacterial SSU rRNA". It matches the Rfam family "Bacterial small subunit ribosomal RNA", at positions 356 to 773 of the family's 1533-position model. The record is from RNAcentral.
GGGGAAUAUUGCACAAUGGGGGAAACCCUGAUGCAGCCAUGCCGCGUGUGUGAAGAAGGCCUUCGGGUUGUAAAGCACUUUCAGCGAGGAGGAAAGGGUGGAAGCUAAUACCUUUCAUCUGUGACGUUACUCGCAGAAGAAGCACCGGCUAACUCCGUGCCAGCAGCCGCGGUAAUACGGAGGGUGCAAGCGUUAAUCGGAAUAACUGGGCGUAAAGCGCACGCAGGCGGUUGGAUAAGUCAGAUGUGAAAGCCCCGGGCUCAACCUGGGAACUGCAUUUGAAACUGUCUGACUAGAGUCUUGUAGAGGGGGGUAGAAUUCCAGGUGUAGCGGUGAAAUGCGUAGAGAUCUGGAGGAAUACCGGUGGCGAAGGCGGCCCCCUGGACAAAGACUGACGCUCAGGUGCGAAAGCGUGGGGAGCAAAC